RNAcentral lists this ribosomal RNA (456 nucleotides) under uncultured bacterium. Its description in RNAcentral is "bacterial SSU rRNA". It matches the Rfam family "Bacterial small subunit ribosomal RNA", at positions 28 to 507 of the family's 1533-position model. The record is from RNAcentral.
GACGAACGCUGGCGGCACGCCUAACACAUGCAAGUCGAACGGAGAACCUUCGGGUUCUUAGCGGCGGACGGGUGAGUAACGCGUGAGUAACCUGCCUUCAGGAGGGGGACAACAUUCCGAAAGGGAUGCUAAUACCGCAUGACAUUGUUUAAUCGCAUGGUUGAACAAUCAAAGAUUUAUCGCCUGAAGAUGGACUCGCGUCUGAUUAGCUAGUUGGUGAGGUAACGGCUCACCAAGGCGACGAUCAGUAGCCGGACUGAGAGGUUGGCCGGCCACAUUGGGACUGAGACACGGCCCAGACUCCUACGGGAGGCAGCAGUGGGGAAUAUUGGGCAAUGGGCGCAAGCCUGACCCAGCAACGCCGCGUGAAGGAAGAAGGCUUUCGGGUUGUAAACUUCUUUGUCAGGGACGAAGUAAAUGACGGUACCUGACGAAUAAGCCACGGCUAACUACGUG